Molecule: non-coding RNA, 3891 nt
Organism: Monodelphis domestica (gray short-tailed opossum)
Lineage: Eukaryota; Metazoa; Chordata; Mammalia; Didelphimorphia; Didelphidae
Source: RefSeq, a predicted model, not a curated record
GAGAGCUGCCGGCAGGCCCGGGGGCGCUGCUAUCCCUGGGCAAGGGGGCGGUGGCAUUGGUGGAGGCGGAGGCGGUGUCGUGGUGGUUGUCGGCUCGGCAGCGGCUAGGGCGGCAGCUGCGGGCAGGAGGCGGAGCCGCGGGGCGGCGGGAUUGGGAAGGCUAUAAGAGGUGCCGCGGUGGCUCCGCGCUCCACUCUUCUUUUUCCGGCUUCCCGGGCUCUUUUUGCUGUUGCUCCUGCUCCGGUCUAUGGUGCAGCCCGAACCCAGGACCAUGUCGCGCUCGGAAGAGGUGCACCGAUUGACCGAAAAUGUCUACAAGACAAUUAUGGAACAGUUCAACCCUAGCCUCAGGAACUUCAUUUCCAUGGGGAAGAACUAUGAAAAAGCCCUGGCAGGUGUGACAUUUGCUGCGAAAGGUUAUUUCGAUGCCCUUGUAAAAAUGGGAGAGUUGGCCAGUGAAAGUCAAGGCUCAAAAGAACUUGGGGAUGUACUCUUCCAGAUGGCAGAAGUUCACAGGCAGAUUCAGAAUCAGUUAGAAGAGAUGCUGAAGUCUUUUCAUAAUGAACUACUCACACAGUUGGAGCAGAAAGUGGAAUUAGAUUCCAGGUACCUAAGUGCCGCACUGAAGAAAUACCAGACAGAGCAAAGGAGCAAAGGGGAUGCCCUUGACAAGUGUCAGGCUGAGCUGAAGAAACUCCGUAAGAAGAGCCAGGGGAGUAAAAACCCUCAGAAGUACUCCGACAAGGAACUGCAGUUCAUAGAUGCGAUCAGUAACAAGCAAGGUGAAUUGGAGAAUUAUGUGUCAGAUGGCUAUAAGACAGCUCUCACUGAAGAACGGAGAAGGUUUUGCUUCUUGGUGGAAAAGCAAUGUGCUGUGGCCAAAAACUCAGUCUCCUACCAUUCUAAGGGAAAGGACAUGCUGACUCAGAAACUCCCAUUGUGGCAGCAGUCCUGUGCUGACCCCAAUAAAAUCCCAGAUCGAGCCAUCCAACUGAUGCAACAGAUGGCGGCCAGCAGCAACGGCACAGUCAUGCCCAGCUCCCUGUCUGCUUCCAAGUCCAACUUAGUCAUCUCAGAUCCCAUCCCUGGUGCCAAACCACUUCCAGUGCCCCCAGAGCUGGCCCCAUUUGUAGGGCGUAUGUCUGCCCAGGAGAAUGUGCCUGUAAUGAAUGGGGUCUCAGGUCCAGACAGCGAAGACUACAACCACUGGUCUGACAGGAAGCCAACCCAGCCCAAAUCCCUGUCUCCUCCUCAGACCCAGAACAAGAUGAGCGACUCCUACUCAAACACACUUCCUGUGCGCAAGAGCGUUGCCCCAAAAAACAGCUACGCAACCACUGAGAACAAAACUCUUCCUCGCUCUAGCUCCAUGGCAGCUGGUCUGGAGCGAAAUGGCCGAAUGAGGGUGCAAGCCAUCUUCUCCCAUGCUGCUGGUGACAACAGCACCCUUCUGAGCUUCAAAGAGGGAGAUCUCAUCACCCUGCUGGUCCCUGAGGCCCGGGAUGGCUGGCACUAUGGCGAGAGUGAGAAAACCAAAAUGAGGGGCUGGUUUCCUUUCUCCUAUACUCGAGUCUUGGACAGCGAAGUCAGUGACAGAUUGCACAUGAGUCUGCAACAAGGAAAAAGCAGCAGUACAGGCAACCUCCUAGACAAAGAGGAUCUGGCCAUCCCACCCCCAGAUUAUGGGGUAUCCUCUUCAAGGGCCUUCCCGGCCCAGACGGCCAGCACCUUCAAGCAAAGACCCUACAGCGUGGCCGUACCUGCCUUCUCCCAGUUCAGUCAUAUUCCAUUAUAUUCAUUGUGUCACAACUUGCUUGGCCAUUUCCUGUUCACUGGGCAUUUGCUGCAUUUCUAGUUUUGGGCUAUUAUAAAGAAAAUUCGAAGAUAAGUAAGGGCCUAGAUGACUACGGUUCCCGAUCUGUGAGCAGUGGCAGUGGGACUCUGGUCUCAACAGUGUGAGGACCCCUUGACUAGAAAUGGCACCUGCUGCUUUGAAGAGAUUUUCUGCUUCUCUUUCUCCCUGCCUUGAUUUCUCUGAUUUAUUUGGUCUCUCCCUUUUCCUUUUUCCCCCUUCUUCAACUCAUUGGUUUGUUCUUGGAUAGUCUUUUUUUCCCCCCUUGCCUUUUGGUUGGUGACAUUUUAAACUCUGUGAUCAUCAAGGAUCCAUGGUGCUGCUUCAUCUCUGUUUCUUUAUUCUUCAUCCCUGCCCUGCCUCUGACUCUGGUCCAAAGCCUUUCAGAGUAUAAACUGCCCAACGGGGGUGUCUGCUCCCCUGGGGAGUGGCAGCUUGGAUGCAGUGUCUACAACCAUUCUGCUGCCUCCUUCUCCCCAUGUACCUUUGGAUGUUGACAAUGCACUAUCCCUUUUCUAAAGCUCUUUCCUGAGCCAUGUUUAGAGUCUGAAAGCAAAAGAAAAUCCUCAGCAGAUAAAGGACUCCCUCCAUGGCACCCCAAAAUACUAACACACCCAUACACACCACAAAACAAAACACAUCCAAACCCAAUAUGCAUGGACUAAUGGUGUAUGUACUGUUACGUUUUUUUUUUUCCAAUAUGACUUUCACUGGGUUCACAGCCCAGUUUCUUUAUUAGGCAAGGGAAGGCAGACUAAAGACUCUUAAAGAGGCUAUAGUCUUUCUCUUUGAGAGCAGGCUUGCAGUGCAACCCCCACCCCCUCCCCAGCCCACCCCCUUAUUCCCUUGCCCAAGGGUGGCUUAGAGAACAGUGGAUCGUCAGGCUUUGGCCCACUAGGAAAGCUGGCUGGCUCUCUGUGAAGGACCGUUGGGGCCUCAUGCCCAUCUGCUUAGGACCCAGCCUAAGGGGCCAGUCAAAAGCUUCUUUCUCAAUGAAGUUGUUUUAUAAGUGUACAUAGAAUAUAUAUGUAUAUAUAUAUAUCUUUUUUGUAGCAGGGUAUUGUUACCUCACUUUAGCGCACCUGGGUAGGGGCUGGGGAAGGAAUACGCACCUGACUAAAGAGAAUUCCAAAGACCUUGAUCGAUCGAUCGAUCUAUCUAUCUUACCUACCUAUAGUGAUAGAUAGAUAAAGAUUAUAGGUAUAGCUAUAUAUAUAUAUAUAUGUAUAUUUUUUUUCCUCCUUCCUUUUGGAAAUAUUCCUUAAACCAGCUUUGCAGAUUAGUCCCUACCACAUGCCAGCCCUCCUUCCUUAUAGGGGUGUGGUAACACAAAUGACAUUAAAUGAUUGAACCUCAUUGCCCUGGGCAAGUGGCUAUUUGUAAGGCUGCUUUAAUGACCUGGGCCCCAGGCUGCCCCUGUAUAGGGAGGGGUGGGGUAAACAGGCAGUCUCCUGUUGCAUUCUUUCCUAAACACUGUUCAUCUUCUUUGUAUGUCUUGGUCACUUUAGAGACAAACACAUGGGACUCAAUGGCUACUGGUAUUGUUUCUUCACCCACUGAAUUCUGUCUGGGAAGUGAGUGAAGGGCCAACAGCCCCACUUUACCCUUUCCGUGUUGGUGAAAGUCUUCAUUAUGAAGCCGUAGACACUUCCUUUUCCAGUGUGAUUUUAAAACCUCCUACCUACCUGUUGACUAGGAUUUUGUUGGCAAUACAUAUGAUAUGUAGAGAGAAAACAAGAGAGGGGUUCUCGUUUUUGUGUUAAAAGGGGUGGGGGUGGGGAAGCCAGAACACGGACCUGUUUACUAAGAAACCCUCCGUGUUGGGAUGAUGAUGUUGCUAAAAGAUCUUAAAUCCAGGGGAUUUUAUGCUCAGUGGAUUGAAUGUAUACACAAAAUAGCAAAACUUGUUAUGAAGAUUGUAAAGUGAUGAAAAACCUUUUUUUCUUUUCCUUUUUCUUUCUUUUUUUUUUAAAUCUGAAGAGAAACGUGCCCUGUACUGGAGUAAAUUGUUUGAAUAAAAGUUUUAUUUAUUGCAUUGA